CAGGGGUGAGGAUUAUCAGUAUCUCUGUCUCUCACUUCCACAUCUUCCCCUACUGCAGGGUCUUCAAGAGCGAUAAGACCCAUGGAGCUGUCACCUCUGUGGCGUCAGAGCCUUGUUCUGUGAGGCCUCCUGAAGGACCUCCUGACCCUCUACCUGAGGCAGAUCGCUCUUUACAAGUAUAGCCACGGUGGUUUGCUUAGUUUGUUUCUCUUUUAUCAUAGUUUCCCUGUGAAGAGAUACCGUGAACAUGCUUCUUUAUUAUGAAAAGUUUUGUUUUCUUUUUUUUUUUUUUUAUUUCUCCUUGGGGACAGUCUUAGUAUGUAACCCAGGCUGGCCUCCGACUCCUGAUUCUCUUGCCUGGCUCCCAAGUGCUGGGAUUUCAGGCGUGUGGCAACAUAUCUGACUUGUUUCCAAACUUUUAAAGGAGCUUGCUGAGGGCCGAAAAAGCUCUUGCUAAACCCUUCGCUGUGAAUUUUCUUAGAGGUUUUUUUUCCCCUUCUCCAGCGGACUUUCUUCUUGCUGCUCCUUCAGCUAUGAAGUCCUAUUCCAGUUCUACCAACUGCUGGUUACUCAGGACCCACUUGGAAGUGCUCCUCAGAAUCGUCCUCCUCCACACGCGGGUUAAAAUUGCCCGGCGCUGCCCCCGUGGCCGUAUUGAUUUUUGCAACUGUCUCCUUUCGUCCUUGACAAGUCCUUUCACGACGUGGAUGAACCUCAAGCGUCUUCUUCCUGAUACAGUUCACUCACAUCUCAGGGACAGCACCCCCAGCCCAAGGAAGAUUCUAGAUGCAAUCUCCGAUGUUCUCAUCCCUCCAGAACUGUCUGUUCACUGAACCAAGGAGAGAGCUGGCUCUUCCUGAGGCGACAUGCCAGGCUUCCCACUGAGGAGGGACCGAGGAUUCAGCUUGAUCAAGGCUGUGACAGGAAAAAGCUCAGGGUCUGAGAGCACAGAGGAGGUAACAACACACAUGAGAAGAUUAGAGAAAUGAAACGAAAUCUGGGAAAGACACGAGAACGAUGAUUACCCCAUGAAAGUAGAAGGUCGGGGUGGGAGAAGAGGUUCCUUCAGAAAACGAGUAUGGUGCAGGUCCCGGGCAGAAGAAUCAGUCUUAGAGGUAACGAGAAGCACUUUGGGCAGCCUAGAGUUUAGUCCGUGGAGGAGACAAUACCGACAGUGAAGUUGGACAGUCAGACUUGUAAUCAUUCGAAGAUUGUGUUAAGGACAGUACCGGGAAGCCGUUGGAGGUUUUAAGCAGAAUUAUAUGACCAGAUUUACAGUUUUUAAUGAUAAUCCCAUCAGCUGUGCGAAUCUUAGGCAAUGGCAAAUGCAGGGAGAUUCGCUGAGGCUCUACAGCAGAAGGCUCAUUGAGACAGAACAGUGGCUUUAGUGGUGAAAAUGCAAAGAAAUGGAACAGCUUGAGGUGACAACUAGAAUCAUCUUUUAUUGUGUCAUUAAUGAGCUUGGACUUUGUUCUGAAGGGAUAAAAAAGGAAGCCAGGUAACAUUUUAACUGUGGGAUUGAUCCAUUCAGAUACGGAUUUUUUUUUUUUUUUUUACUUGAAAUCCAGCUCUGGACCUUGCACUUGCGAGGCAGGCGGCGGCACCACNNNNNNNNNNNNNNNNNNNNNNNNNNNNNNNNNNNNNNNNNNNNNNNNNNNNNNCCCUGCGUAGUUCAGGCUGGCUUUAAACUCACUCUGUAGUUAAAACUGGCCUUGAAUCUGCAGUGAUCCUCCAGCCUCAGCUUCCCCAGUGCUGGGAUUACAGGCGUGUACCACCACACCCGGUUCAGAUAUGGAUUUAUAAAUAGAGCGAUUGGCAAGGAGGUAAGACUGUCAGAACAGUGCACAGGUAAGAGGUGAGGCUUAAACCCCGCAGAACAACCUUCGCCGGGAAGCAGAGGAGACCGUGGAGAGGUUUCAGAGUCAGGCACCGAGCAGAGCAGUACAGCCCAGGUAGAAGCAGACGCCGCCGCAGACCCACAGAGGAGGCCGGGAGGGGGAGGGGCCGCGAGGCGCCGUGGGCGGGGCCAGGGCACGCA
Molecule: long non-coding RNA, 2038 nt
Filed under: Fukomys damarensis (Damara mole-rat)
Lineage: Eukaryota; Metazoa; Chordata; Mammalia; Rodentia; Bathyergidae
Description: lncRNA (ENSFDAG00000029844.1)
Source: RNAcentral